UGGGGAAUAUUGGGCAAUGGGCGAAAGCCUGAUCCAGCCAUGCCGCGUGUGUGAAGAAGGUCUUCGGAUUGUAAAGCACUUUAAGUUGGGAGGAAGGGCAUUAACCUAAUACGUUAGUGUUUUGACGUUACCGACAGAAUAAGCACCGGCUACCUCUGUGCCAGCAGCCGCGGUAAUACAGAGGGUGAAAGCGUUAAUCGGAAUUACUGGGCGUAAAGCGCGCGUAGGUGGUUUGUUAAGUUGGAUGUGAAAUCCCCGGGCUCAACCUGGGAACUGCAUUCAAAACUGACUGACUAGAGUAUGGUAGAGGGUGGUGGAAUUUCCUGUGUAGCGGUGAAAUGCGUAGAUAUAGGAAGGAACACCAGUGGCGAAGGCGACCACCUGGACUAAUACUGACACUGAGGUGCGAAAGCGUGGGGAGCAAACA
This 427-nucleotide ribosomal RNA is filed under the name uncultured bacterium. Its description in RNAcentral is "partial 16S ribosomal RNA". It matches the Rfam family "Bacterial small subunit ribosomal RNA", at positions 355 to 774 of the family's 1533-position model. The record is from RNAcentral.